UACGUAGGUGGCAAGCGUUGUCCGGAUUUACUGGGCGUAAAGGAUGCGUAGGUGGAUAUUUAAGUGGGAUGUGAAAUACCCGGGCUCAACUUGGGUGCUGCAUUCCAAACUGGAUAUCUAGAGUGCAGGAGAGGUAAGUGGAAUUCCUAGUGUAGCGGUGAAAUGCGUAGAGAUUAGGAAGAACACCAGUGGCGAAGGCGACUUACUGGACUGUAACUGACACUGAGGCAUGAAAGCGUGGGGAGCAAACAGGAUUAGAUACCCUGGUAGUCCACGCCGUAAACGAUGGGUACUAGGUGUAGGAGGGUCCAACCUUCUGUGCCGCCGUUAACACAAUAAGUACCCCGCCUGGGGAGUACGGUCGCAAGAUUAAA
This 374-nucleotide ribosomal RNA is filed under the name uncultured bacterium. Its description in RNAcentral is "bacterial SSU rRNA". It matches the Rfam family "Bacterial small subunit ribosomal RNA", at positions 524 to 898 of the family's 1533-position model. The record is from RNAcentral.